RNAcentral lists this unclassified non-coding RNA (504 nucleotides) under Nolina humilis. RNAcentral describes it as "partial external transcribed spacer". Lineage: Eukaryota; Viridiplantae; Streptophyta; Magnoliopsida; Asparagales; Asparagaceae. The record is from RNAcentral.
ACUCACUGGCUGAUCUCCUCGUACCAGCGGGCUACUGCUUCUACGCAGACGAACGCGCUCGUGCUGCUUGUCCCUUCAUCUCAGUUCGCACCCGACGGUAGGCACCCAUCACCGUGCAUCCACUUGUUUCCUGUGCAACAUACCGGAUUCUUCUGGAAGGACACUCCACUGAAUGCUGCUAUAGGCGACCCUUCUCCCGCUGCUCGAUGUCGGAGGGCGUGAGGCACUAGCAAGGUUCGUCCCGCGCACAGCCCUCGAAUGGAGGACGCACCCGAGAUGUCCGCUUCUACAGUGUCCGUCAAGGAUUCUUCAGGGAAUAACGCAUGCUGCGGAUGCGGAAAGCUGGGGAUGCUGCGGACCCCCUCCCUUGCUCGGUUUCAAUUAAUGAGCCUACUACAGAACGACGCUCCGUCUGCCGUGAGAAGCCUUCUGCCCGCUCUUGGAAAGGGAUCCCAAGCGGCUCGAAUGUCGACAAGAGUGUGACCGGGGUAAUAAACCAAAAAA